GCCAGUGAUGAGUUGAUCCACUUUGUUAUAGGUGUAGUUGAGCCAAGUCCCUGCUUGUCAGGGAGAACCUACUUGGUGGAGGCUACAUUACAAUGACAUUAAUGGAUUUUUCUGAAGC
Small nucleolar RNA from Hevea brasiliensis (rubber tree), 118 nucleotides. RefSeq annotates it as small nucleolar RNA Z278. The record is from RefSeq and is a predicted model, not a curated record. The transcript has a single exon. NCBI's taxonomy places the organism in Eukaryota, Viridiplantae, Streptophyta, Magnoliopsida, Malpighiales, Euphorbiaceae.